Molecule: long non-coding RNA, 1683 nt
Filed under: Homo sapiens (human)
Lineage: Eukaryota; Metazoa; Chordata; Mammalia; Primates; Hominidae
Description: HSALNT0300450
Source: RNAcentral
CCAGCCCCGCGUGCAGCUCGCACCCCUUCCCACGCCUGUUCGGGGGAGAGCCCCGGGCCUGGAGUGGGAAGCCUGGCUCCAGCUCUGGUUACCUGCAGUGACUCCCCAGGCCGUUUAGGCGAGUCCAUUGGGCCGCCUCUGCCUCGGUUUCCCCACCUAACCACGGAAGGUGCUCCUCCCUUCCAGGCAUCUGUGGUCUUCGAGCUCCACGCGGGAGAGGCGCCGGUCUGGCACCUCCUGCCCAGGGUCGGCGCCUCCUGGCUCUCGGGGAGGGGGGCAUCCUCCAUCCCCUGCACCUGCCUCGAGAGGAACCAGGGACAGAGCACCCCCACCCCCACCAGGAGCUCCGGAAAAACGGCUUCAGAAGAGCAAAUAUACACACACACCCACCUCCCGCCCCAAACAUCCCCGAAGAAAGGUAACCACAGAAACAGCCAGAAAUGUGGAGCUGGGCGAUCGUAUGAGGCUGAGACAAAACUGUCUUUCUAGCGUCUCUAGGGGAGAGCUUGAAUCCCUCCUUCCACUCCUCCUCCACGGAAAACAGAGUGAACUCCUGCUACAGAGGCCGCCAGAGCAACAUGCAAGACCAGCUUUGAGGGGAGCGGGCACAGGGCCUUGCAGGGAAGGUGGGCCGAGCCCAGACCCCUCAUUCUUACUUGGCUCUGAAGGCGGAAAGGCAAAGCUAGACCUCGAGGAAGUUCCCCUCCCUGUGGGCCCUACAGUGAAGAUUACAUGAAGGCAUGUGGGCGGUGGACCAGAGUGCACCGACUGAUGAAGGCGGCCCGGUACCCGCGGGUGCCAUGCCUCCUUCUUAGCCAAGGCCACUCUAGCUCCCCGUGAAGUAUCCAGGUAGAAGGCUGGUGGGGUUACAGGUGAGAAGCCGUCGGUGGGGUCCAGGAGCCAGGCCUGGGGAAGCACACGUCACUUCCACCCACAUCCAUGGGCCAGAAGUAGUCGCACAGUCCCACCAGGAUGCAAGGGGCUCUGGCAGCUGUGGUCUUCAUGAGUGUUUCGGAAGUAAACAAAGCCGGUUUGAUGAACACGUAGAAACAUCCCUGCCACAGAAACUGAGCAGAUUUCUCCCAAGCACACACAGGGCAAAGGGGCAAAGUCUGUCCACAGACUCACAGGAAGGGAGGUGCAUGGCAGACACAGGCAGGAGGUGGGGUUGGGGUGGAAAAGUUCAGGGAGGGCUCAAAAGCAGACCAAGGCCUGUUUCUGAAACCCAGCCCACUCACUGGUUCCUCCACACUUGGCCCAUGCUGUUCCUCUCCCAUGUGACUUUUCCAUCUUCCCCCUCCAACCUGUCACCCAUCCAUCCUUCAAAACUUAGGUCAGUUAGCUCUCACCUAGCCCUCAGCAGCUUAGCCCGCAGAUGCUUCCUCUGUUUCUGAACUUCUAGAGAAACACACUUAACCGCAGACCUCUUAUUCCAGGAGUGUAUCUCUCUCAGAUGAGAUACAAGUUGGUCCCUUCCCUUGCGUCCCUCCUGUUCCUUCAAGAGGAGGACUGUCUACCCACCCCGAAGCUUCAUGGAGAGAGAGCACACCGUCGUUAUUCAAUAUGUAGUUUUGAAUUUAACUAGAGCAAAGAAGAAAGCAAAUUCAGGUGGAAGGAAGAAGAAAAGGGAAAAGGGCUGUCCCCAUCCUUCUAAGGAGAUGGUGCAGUGGCUCACCUUUGGGA